RNAcentral lists this ribosomal RNA (961 nucleotides) under uncultured bacterium. Its description in RNAcentral is "bacterial SSU rRNA". It matches the Rfam family "Bacterial small subunit ribosomal RNA", at positions 26 to 975 of the family's 1533-position model. The record is from RNAcentral.
AGGAUGAACGCUAGCUACAGGCUUAACACAUGCAAGUCGAGGGGAAACGGCAAUGAAUGCUUGCAUUUAUUGGACGUCGACCGGCGCACGGGUGAGUAUCGCGUAUCCAACCUGCCUAUUACUUGAGAAUACCCCGUUGAAAGGCGGUCUAAUACUCAAUACUUUCAUAAAUUGGCAUCAUGCUAUGAAAAAAGAUUUAUCGGUAAUAGAUGGGGAUGCGUCUGAUUAGUUAGUUGGUGAGGUAACGGCUCACCAAGGCGACGAUCAGUAGGGGUUCUGAGAGGAAGGUCCCCCACAUUGGAACUGAGACACGGUCCAAACUCCUACGGGAGGCAGCAGUGAGGAAUAUUGGUCAAUGGGCGUAAGCCUGAACCAGCCAAGUAGCGUGUAGGAAUACAGCCCUAUGGGUUUUAAACUACUUUUGUUAGGGAAUAAAGUGUGCCACGUGCUGGCAUAUUGCAUGUACCUAUCGAAUAAGGACCGGCUAAUUCCGUGCCAGCAGCCGCGGUAAUACGGAAGGUCCAGGCGUUAUCCGGAUUUAUUGGGUUUAAAGGGAGUGUAGGCUGUUAGAUAAGCGUGUUGUGAAAUAUUCUAGCUUAACUAGAAUCGUGCAGCGCGAACUGUUUAACUUGAGUUCGUUCAACGUAGGCGGAAUUUAUGGUGUAGCGGUGAAAUGCUUAGAUAUCAUAAAGAACUCCGAUUGCGAAGGCAGCUUACGGGGUCGUAACUGACGCUAAAGCUCGAAGGUGCGGGUAUCGAACAGGAUUAGAUACCCUGGUAGUCCGCACAGUAAACUAUGGAUGCCCGCUUUUGGUAUUAAAUAUAUCAGAGGCUAAGUGAAAACGUUAAGCAUCCCACCUGGGGAGUACGCCGGCAACGGUGAAACUCAAAGGAAUUGACGGGGGCCCGCACAAGCGGAGGACAUGUGGUUUAAUUCGAUGAUACGCGAGGAACCCUUACC